AGGACGAACGCUGGCGGCGUGCUUAACACAUGCAAGUCGAGCGGUAAGGCUCCUUCGGGAGUACACGAGCGGCGAACGGGUGAGUAACACGUGAGCAAUCUGCCCUUCACACUGGGAUAACCUUCGGAAACGAGGACUAAUACCGGAUACGACCACCUCAGACAUCUGAUGGUGGUGGAAAGCUCCGGCGGUGAAGGAUGAGCUCGCGGCCUAUCAGCUUGUUGGUGAGGUAACGGCUCACCAAGGCUUCGACGGGUAGCCGGCCUGAGAGGGUGACGGCCACGACUGGGACUGAGACACGGCCCAGACUCCUACGGGAGGCAGCAGUGGGGAAUAUUGGACAAUGGGCGAAAGCCUGAUCCAGCAACGCCGCGUGAGGGAUGACGGCCUUCGGGUUGUAACCUCUUUCAGCAGGGACGAAGCGAAAGUGACGGUACCUGCAGAAGAAGCACCGGCCAACUACGUGCCAGCAGCCGC
RNAcentral lists this ribosomal RNA (477 nucleotides) under uncultured bacterium. RNAcentral's name for it is "SSU rRNA". It matches the Rfam family "Bacterial small subunit ribosomal RNA", at positions 26 to 518 of the family's 1533-position model. The record is from RNAcentral.